AUGCCCCUCACUAGCAGCAGUUUAUCUCACAUAUCCCUACCCGGACCUGGCAUCAGGAGCCAAGCCGUAUCAACAAUCAACAGCAGACCUAAGAUCUCGGAGAAGAGGAUCCCCGGCAAUAACUCUCCUUUGACACAUAGGCGCUAUCAGCCCUUCUCUUAUGCCGGGUCUGGGGGAGGAGUAAUUUUUUCUGCCUGGAGCGAGCCAGGUCUGGGAUCUUUCCCAUAG
Molecule: long non-coding RNA, 228 nt
Filed under: Vicia faba (fava bean)
Lineage: Eukaryota; Viridiplantae; Streptophyta; Magnoliopsida; Fabales; Fabaceae
Source: RNAcentral